UCUCUGAAGUGAUCAGGUAACCUCCUCCAGUCAUAGGAUUCAGGCCAACAGUUUCUUUAUAUCCUUCUGCAAAUAGAAAUAGCAACCAUUAGAAGUUUUCACACCCAGCACACAGACUAACUAAUAAUUUAAUUAUAAUCUUUAUUAAUUUAU
Molecule: long non-coding RNA, 153 nt
Organism: Hibiscus syriacus
Lineage: Eukaryota; Viridiplantae; Streptophyta; Magnoliopsida; Malvales; Malvaceae
Exons: 4
Source: RefSeq, a predicted model, not a curated record